CCUACGGGUGGCAGCAGUGAGGAAUAUUGGUCAAUGGGCGGGAGCCUGAACCAGCCAAGCCGCGUGAAGGAAGACGGCGCCAGGCGUCGUAAACUUCUUUUGUCGGGGAACAAAGGGCGCCACGCGUGGCGUUGUGAGUGUACCCGAAGAAAAAGCAUCGGCUAACUCCGUGCCAGCAGCCGCGGUAAUACGGAGGAUGCGAGCGUUAUCCGGAUUUAUUGGGUUUAAAGGGAGCGUAGGCCGGCUUUUAAGUCAGCUGUGAAAGUCCGCGGCUCAACCGUGGAAUUGCAGUUGAAACUGGAGGCCUUGAGUGCACACAGGGAUGCCGGAAUUCAUGGUGUAGCGGUGAAAUGCUUAGAUAUCAUGAAGAACUCCGAUCGCGAAGGCAAGUGUCCGGGGUGCAACUGACGCUGAGGCUCGAAAGUGCGGGUAUCAAACAGGAUUAGAUACCCCGGUAGUC
This 460-nucleotide ribosomal RNA is filed under the name uncultured bacterium. Its description in RNAcentral is "partial 16S ribosomal RNA". It matches the Rfam family "Bacterial small subunit ribosomal RNA", at positions 338 to 795 of the family's 1533-position model. The record is from RNAcentral.